Vombatus ursinus (common wombat) is the source of this 102-nucleotide small nuclear RNA. Lineage: Eukaryota; Metazoa; Chordata; Mammalia; Diprotodontia; Vombatidae. The record is from Ensembl.
CCACUUUGGCAGUGCAUAUGUUAAAAUUGGAAUGAUAUUAAAAGAUUAGCAUGGGCUCUGUGUAAUGAUGACAUGCAAAUUUGUGAAGCAUUCCAUAUUUUU